RNAcentral lists this ribosomal RNA (253 nucleotides) under uncultured bacterium. RNAcentral's name for it is "partial 16S ribosomal RNA". It matches the Rfam family "Bacterial small subunit ribosomal RNA", at positions 524 to 776 of the family's 1533-position model. The record is from RNAcentral.
UACGUAGGGUGCGAGCGUUGUCCGGAAUUACUGGGCGUAAAGAGCUCGUAGGGGGUUUGUCGCGUUGUUCGUGAAAACUCACAGCUUAACUGUGGGCGUGCGGGCGAUACGGGCAGACUGGAGUACUGCAGGGGAGACUGGAAUUCCUGGUGUAGCGGUGGAAUGCGCAGAUAUCAGGAGGAACACCGGUGGCGAAGGCGGGUCUCUGGGCAGUAACUGACGCUGAGGAGCGAAAGCGUGGGGAGCGAACAGG